Long non-coding RNA from Gadus macrocephalus (Pacific cod), 2366 nucleotides. RefSeq lists it as uncharacterized. The transcript has 2 exons. The record is from RefSeq and is a predicted model, not a curated record. NCBI's taxonomy places the organism in Eukaryota, Metazoa, Chordata, Actinopteri, Gadiformes, Gadidae.
GGGGGGGGGGGGGGGAGAAAAAUGAUAAGGAGAAGAGCUGAGACACAUGAAUGCAUUAGGUUUAUUACAAAUAAACACUCCUUAAAAUAUACCAAUGACAACGACGGUUUCUAAAUUCCAGAGAAACAAGCCACAAGAGGGCGAUGGAGGAUAGAGAGACGGGGAGCAGGGUGUACCGAGAGGGGUCUACAGGGGGCGCAACAACUCCAGGGACAAGAAGGAGCGGAGCGUCGGCCAGGCAAACUCAAAGCCAAACUAGACUAAUAAGUGCUGCACUAAUUAAGCCCAACUAAACUACUAGGCCUAGUUAAAAAAGAUAAAUAACACUUGUUAACAGGUAAAAGUGAACAUGUUUUUAUCUUUUUGUUAACAUGCUAUUUCAAAGAUAAUCUAAACUACUAGCCACCAGGUGAACUAACAUCUUACAUUAAUGGAGGGGUCCACGUGUCCCCAUUUCUAUCGUAACAGCAGCAGAGGGAGAGAAAGUUCUCACGGUUAAAGAAGACAAUGUCCACCAUCUAUCGCUGUCAUCUAGUUGUAACAUAAGUAUAUUUGUUGUAACGGAUAUAAUCAAAAAUAUAUAUUGUUACCUGGCCAGCCAUGUCGCAGAGCUGCAGUCUCACUGGUUUACCAUCGACCACUACCAUCACUGCAGAGAUGGAAGAGGACAUAAUUAAUCCCAUGAAAUGAGGGAUACUAGGCUAAAGAAUAGGAUACCUGUGAAGUUGUCAAAAGCUGUGGGAAUAUAUUCCGCCGGGUAUCCAUUGGUGGUGUAGCUGACGACCAGGCUGGUCUUCCCCACAGCCCCGUCGCCCACCAGCACGCAGUUCACCCUGCGCUCCGGGACCGACCCGGACCGCUUGCGCUUCGCGCUCAGAGGGAAGUCCCGGUUCUUCACACGGCGCACCGGAAUCGGCGCAUCGUCGAGGGGGAACACCGGGUCCGAAACACGGCGGUUCUUGUGGAACCCCAGAUCUUGUGGGAGCAUGGUUCACCAACUCGGAAAUAAGAUAAGACUUGGGUAUCACAGCUAUGUGUGAAAAUAGUCAACCCAAUGUUUCCGUUAUUUUAACUCACAGGACUCACAGGAAGACUGGCGGGUGAUUGCACCUCGCAGCAGGGGACCUGGGUGGGUGUUGUGUACAUCUGGUGUGCUCACGGUCUUGGUUCACGGUCCUAAUAAUAAGAGGCUUAGCCGGGGACCGUGCGAGAUGCGCGCCCGAGGGCUUUCCAAGUGAAAUGGACUAAUCUGCUUGAAACCCUUAUCUCCUCCUGGAGUAAAACGUUCUGCAGGCCACUUCUACUUCCUCCCCCAUCAGAGCAGUUCAAACCAACACAUAAUCUGCAAUAUAUGCUGUACUUUGUUUGGUUGUUUGGUUAUCAUCAUCAGCUUUUUGGAUGACCACUUUUUCAUCGUUCCGUUGAUUAAUGUUCGCCUGCCUGAUGCAUUUUAUGAUGGCACGUCCUUGUGUUGUAACAGUUGUUUUUACUUUAUGUGGUCCUUUAAAACAGAAGUUAAAAUCGUCUUCCCUCACUCGGCCCAUACAGGCUUUAUAAAGAGUUCGUGCGCCCCCUAGUGAGUACAGUCGUACUACAAUUUCUACAUACCUAAAGUACAUACUAGACCUGAAAUAGAAACUAGAUAUCUAAUCUGUGAUCCAAUUCCAACCAGAUGAUCCCAGAUUAUCUAGGUAUUAUCUAUAAUUUUUCAUAGGGCCGUAAUGCAGGACACCCAGUACCUUGUAGGCCUAGCACCAACCAGAACUAAAGCCCUUUAGAAUGCUUUCAGCAUGUUUUCAAGGUUAAUACCAUACUGUUUAUUAGUAACCACUACCCUGCCCAUUAUUGUUAAUGUGUAUACCUCUUGUAAUUAAUUAUGAUAACCUCCAUGUUGCUGGUGAAAUCUAGCCAUCUAUGGUUUCUGUCUGUCAUAUUGAUCCAUGAUAUUUUAUUUAUCAAUGCAUUAGUUUAGAACUUCUUUUGUUUAUCCCUAACAAAAAACAUCAAAAAGUUAUCUCUCCCUGAAAUAAAAUCCCAGAUAAACCCUAGUAACCGUUAAUUGCACUUCCUGAAUAAACACAUCAAACCAUGUGCACUUCCUGAAUACACACAUCAACCCAUUUGUACUUCCUGUAUAAACAUCAACAUUAACCCAUCUUUACUUCCUUAAUAACAUCAACAUUAACCCAUGUGCACUUCCUGAAUAAAAACAUCAACAUUAACCCAUGUGCACCUCCUGAAUAAACACAUCAACAUUAACCCAUCCCUGCUACCUGUAUAAACAACAAAGUUAACCCAUCUGUACUUCCUGAAUAAACAAAUAAAAAAUAACCAAUCUGUACUUCCUGAAUAAACACCAACAUUAA